Paramuricea clavata is the source of this 380-nucleotide non-coding RNA. The record is from the annotation of a GenBank genome assembly. NCBI's taxonomy places the organism in Eukaryota, Metazoa, Cnidaria, Anthozoa, Malacalcyonacea, Plexauridae.
GGAAAAACUGUUUUAUAUUUGUUUUAUAAUAUAGCACAAAGAAAUAGAAAGAAAAAAAAUUUCCGACGUUUCGAUGUUGACAUUCAGUUAUAUCAACACGGCUCUUAGCCAAUCAGCGUUCAGAAUUUACAAAUGCUAUAUUAUAAUAUUAAAUCUUAUUUACACACAUACAAGCAACGGUAGCCCUUCAGCAAAAUAUUGUAGCAAAGCUGAUUUCCAAGGGGCCGUUGACUAAUAAAAAAAAUAAUAAAUAAAAAGGAUCAAAAUGUAUACACACAGUCUUAAACAUAUACCCUAUAUACAUGAUAUACACACCCACCCUCCCACCCAUUCAUAUUGUGCAAUAUUGGAAAAAUUAUCAACUACAUUACAUAAUUGUG